Molecule: ribosomal RNA, 264 nt
Filed under: unidentified alpha proteobacterium groupF
Lineage: Bacteria; Pseudomonadati; Pseudomonadota; Alphaproteobacteria
Description: partial 16S small subunit ribosomal RNA
Rfam family: Bacterial small subunit ribosomal RNA
Source: RNAcentral
CACUUUUAGUUGCAUCAUUAAGUUGGGCACUCUGAAAGAACUGUCAGUGAUAAGCUGGAGGAAGGUGGGGAUGACGUCAAGUCCUCAUGGCCCUUACGUGUUGGGCUACACACGUGCUACAAUGGNAUCUACAACAGGAAGCAAAACGGCAACGUUAAGCAAAUCCCGAAAAGAUGCCUCAGUUCGGAUUGCACUCUGCAACUCGAGUGCAUGAAGCUGGAAUUACUAGUAAUCGUGGAUCAGCGUGCCACGGUGAAUGCGUUC